GGGUUGUGAGGUUAAGCGACCAAGCGUACACGGUGGAUGCCCUGGCAGUCAGAGGCGAUGAAGGACGUGCUAAUCUGCGAAAAGCGCCGGUAAGGUGAUAUGAACCGUUAUAACCGGCGAUGUCCGAAUGGGGAAACCCAGUGUGACUCGUCACACUAUCAUUAACUGAAUCCAUAGGUUAAUGAGGCGAACCGGGGGAACUGAAACAUCUAAGUACCCCGAGGAAAAGAAAUCAACCGAGAUUCCCCCAGUAGCGGCGAGCGAACGGGGAGGAGCCCAGAGCCUGAAUCAGCAUGUGUGUUAGUGGAAGCGUCUGGAAAGGCGCGCGAUACAGGGUGAGAGCCCCGUACACAAAAGCGCACGUGCUGUGAGCUCGAUGAGUAGGGCGGGACACGUGGUAUCCUGUCUGAAUAUGGGGGGACCAUCCUCCAAGGCUAAAUACUCCUGACUGACCGAUAGUGAACCAGUACCGUGAGGGAAAGGCGAAAAGAACCCCGGCGAGGGGAGUGAAACAGAACCUGAAACCGUGUACGUACAAGCAGUGGGAGCCCCACCACUAAGCCAGUGGUGAACUCCACAUACGCAUCCUUUGCUGAGGAUACGGU
This 605-nucleotide ribosomal RNA is filed under the name Salmonella enterica. Its description in RNAcentral is "partial 23S ribosomal RNA". It matches the Rfam family "Bacterial large subunit ribosomal RNA", at positions 1 to 623 of the family's 2925-position model. The record is from RNAcentral. RNAcentral also lists the same sequence under 2 other names. Lineage: Bacteria; Pseudomonadati; Pseudomonadota; Gammaproteobacteria; Enterobacterales; Enterobacteriaceae.